This 478-nucleotide ribosomal RNA is filed under the name uncultured bacterium. Its description in RNAcentral is "partial 16S ribosomal RNA". It matches the Rfam family "Bacterial small subunit ribosomal RNA", at positions 28 to 523 of the family's 1533-position model. The record is from RNAcentral.
GACGAACGCUGGCGGCGUGCUUAACACAUGCAAGUCGAACGGUAAGGCCCUUCGGGGUACACGAGUGGCGAACGGGUGAGUAACACGUGGGUGAUCUGCCCUGCACUUCGGGAUAAGCCUGGGAAACUGGGUCUAAUACCGGAUAGGACUCCGGACUGCAUGGUCUGGGGUGGAAAGCUUUUGCGGUGUGGGAUGGGCCCGCGGCCUAUCAGCUUGUUGGUGGGGGGGUGGCCUACCAAGGCGACGACGGGUAGCCGGCCUGAGGGGGUGACCGGCCACACUGGGACUGAGAUACGGCCCAGACUCCUACGGGAGGCAGCAGUGGGGGAUAUUGCACAAUGGGCGCAAGCCUGAUGCAGCGACGCCGCGUGAGGGAUGACGGCCUUCGGGUUGUAAACCUCUUUCAGCACAGACGAAGCGCAAGUGACGGUAUGUGCAGAAGAAGGACCGGCCAACUACGUGCCAGCCGCCGCGGUAA